GACGAACGCUGGCGGCGCGCCUAACACAUGCAAGUCGAACGGAGUUGUGUUGAAAGCUUGCUGGAUAUACAACUUAGUGGCGGACGGGUGAGUAACACGUGAGUAACCUGCCUCUCAGAGUGGAAUAACGUUUGGAAACGGCUGCUAAUACCGCAUGACGCAUGACUGGGGCAUCCCGGACAUGCCAAAAGAUUUUAUCGCUGAAAGAUGGCCUCGCGUCUGAUUAGCUGGUUGGUGAGGUAACGGCCCCACCAAGGCGACGAUCAGUAGCCGGACUGAGAGGUUGACCGGCCACAUUGGGACUGAGAUACGGCCCAG
RNAcentral lists this ribosomal RNA (318 nucleotides) under uncultured bacterium. RNAcentral's name for it is "bacterial SSU rRNA". It matches the Rfam family "Bacterial small subunit ribosomal RNA", at positions 28 to 334 of the family's 1533-position model. The record is from RNAcentral.